RNAcentral lists this ribosomal RNA (310 nucleotides) under Sicarius rupestris. RNAcentral's name for it is "partial 12S ribosomal RNA". The record is from RNAcentral. Lineage: Eukaryota; Metazoa; Arthropoda; Arachnida; Araneae; Sicariidae.
AGGUAUUAUAACAAACCAAAAUAUGCUGGCGGCCAUUUAAACUAGAGGAAUUUGUCCCAUAAUCGUCACCUCACGCUAACUUUCACUUGAUAUUUACCGCUUGUAUACCGCCGUCAAAUACAUAUGAAUGCCUCAACAGUUAAAAUCAAAAGUAAACUUAUUUCACAAAUCAGGUCAAGGUGCAGCCUAUUAUCAAGAGAGGAUGAAUUACAUUAAAUUUAAUUUAAGGAACUGCACACAAAAGUUGCAAAGAAUCAGGAUCUACAAGUAUAAUAAUUUCAAAAUAAAUAAUAGAAUAUUUAUAAAGUGC